This is a long non-coding RNA of Carassius carassius (crucian carp), 623 nucleotides long. RefSeq lists it as uncharacterized. The transcript is spliced from 3 exons. NCBI's taxonomy places the organism in Eukaryota, Metazoa, Chordata, Actinopteri, Cypriniformes, Cyprinidae. The record is from RefSeq and is a predicted model, not a curated record.
UGUGACUCUAGGGCUGCAAUACUGCCACAACAUUAUUCAGAUGGACUGUCUUCUCUUUCAACUAUCAUCUGAGCAGUUAUUUAGGACAACUGCAAAUGAGGGGAAGACACUUCCUUCCAACGUGUGACCAGCAAAGCCACAUCCUUUGCAGAUAUGACAGGAUUUGCAAAUGCCCAGGGUGAUUGACAGAGAGAAUUGACAAUGGACCAAGCGGAAGAUGCAAGGGCAUUUUUGUUACUGUGUUGUUGUGGUGAAAGACAAACAGAAAGAAGAAGAAGAAGAAGAAGAAGAAGAAGAAGAAGAAGAAGAAGAAGAAGAAGAAGACAAAGACAAGUCAUAUCUGCCUCACAUUCUCCAUUAACACAGAUUCAUACUUUAAUGAUAUACUGUUUUCUGCCAAAAAAUAAAAAUAAAAUUUAGUUAGAGAGAAGAUUUUUCUCUAGCAGACUAAUUUACUUAAUUAGCCAUGAUACCCCUUAAUGCAUUCAAAAGUAUGGCAAAACAAAGUAUGUUUCAAAUUUGUUUAAUUAUGAUAAUUAGUAAUUAUAGGAAAUGAUAAUCAGUGGAAUUAGUUAAGUGUUAGAGAGAGAAUUAUUUAGUUAUUAAAAGAUUUGCAAGAAAUA